Molecule: long non-coding RNA, 3105 nt
Filed under: Paramuricea clavata
Lineage: Eukaryota; Metazoa; Cnidaria; Anthozoa; Malacalcyonacea; Plexauridae
Source: RNAcentral
UAAUUUUCCUGAGUGGAAACUAGCCUUUACGAUGUAGGACGGCAACGCGACGACAACGGCCAGAAUAAAAUCAUUCAAAUAAACGAUUGUAAAGAAAGUUUGUAGACUAUUGUUGAUCGUAUCAAUUUAACACUGUUUGGUUAGCUUGAAAUAGUGGCUUUAUUGUUGAGAAAGUUCUACUGUAGUACGGAGCUAAUUUGCUGAGUAUAUCAUUUCUCGCGCGUCUUGAAAUGCAGGCGUUUUAUCCAAGACGUAAAAGUCUGUAGUUUCCCGGCGUUGUAAACAAACCGUGCACGACGUCUCAAACUCCCGUGGGAUAUUAGUUAUUCAUUUUUGUUCUUAAAUAUUAUGAAUCUCAUUGUGUGAAUAACCGUCGACGUCACGUUGCCGUCUCACAUCGUAAGGUCCCUAAAGGUCCCUAAUAAAAUAACGGAGCAGUUUGAACGACUACGAACAGCGUGCUGAGAACGUUCAAGCCGUCAAGGCAAUAUAUAGGUAUCUGAAAAACGUUCUGCUUCGAGGGAUUGUGGGUUGUUUGUAAAGAAAGAGAAGUACUUUUUCAGUAACAGGCAAAUAAAAUUUAGUAGUGUGUGCUUUAUUUGCAUGCGUACAAAAAUAUGAAUAAUACAAAGACCGCGCAAAGCCUGCGAAUCACGUUGAAAGAAUGCAUUCUAAUGUGGUAUUUUUAUAUAAAAUUUAGAAUUUUAAACAAUGCUAGCUGCUGGCCGUACUGACUAGAAACUAAAAAUCAACCUUGGCUGAACAUCAACCUUGGCUACAAAUGAGGCGGCAUGAUGGGUAUGUAGGGAAUGUAUGAGGGUAUGUAAUGUACAGGCAUAUAAAUAGAGGAUAUUACACGUUGGCUUGAAGAUAUGACUUUUUAUCUUCGAGUGGUGAAAACAAUAUUUUACUAACGAGCGCAGCGAGUGAGUAAAAUAUUGUGUUUAACACGAGAAGAUAAAAGUCAUAUCUUCAAGCCAACGUGUAAUGUUCUGUUUAUUAUAUAGUCCGAAGCAAAAAAUUGUAUAAAUACUAAAAGUCACGUGAUCGAUAUCCUCACUAGUGAAGAUAUGGACAAUAUGUCACUGCGUAUUUACCAGUAUCUCACUCUCUACUAUAUAAUAAUUAUGGCUGCAUAUAUAGUGCUAUAAUAAGACAAUUAAGACGCAAACGAAACGGGGCUCUAAAAACGUUUUACUUCGUGUGAUAGUCGAAUGAACAAUGACAAAUCUCUUUUUAUUUUUGGGUUUUUAAUUAAGGUACAUAUCAGUAUUUCUCAGUGUUACAUGAUGGCUAUUAUCAUGUAAUUUUACAUAUAUUAAAUAUUAUUAUACUAUUAUUAUAUUAUACUAUAGCUCAUACUUAAUUAUAGCCUGCGAACAGGCUCUCAAGCUAAAUUGAGAACUUAAUUAUUAUAUUAUAGCUUACAUGCAUGAGUAAGCAAAUAGUUCUAAAGAUUAGAGUAAACGCCUUGUCCACAAAUAACGUCAACGGACAUGAGUGUGGUUAGAGAACUUUGCACCAACGACCGCAGCAUUGCGUAUGGGAAAUGCGUCAAGAUGGCAAAGUCAUCCUCUGACCAACACUAUAAAAGUAGCUUCACGCAUCAGUGAACAUGAUUGAUUACGUUAUGAUUAUUAGCAUUAUGAUUUAAAAUAGAGAAAUGAUGAAGGAUUAAGGAAGAGUAUUCCAUGGCUGAAGACGAAGCUGCUUUAACGCGCUGAUUAACGUAGAAAGAAAACAACAUGGAUAUCUUCUGGACUAUGGUCACUAUGAUUUAUUACGAAUAUGAACUGUUGCUAUAUCAAGUUGCAAUGCUCACUCGGACAGAUAAGUUUUAACAUAUAGCCUAAUUAACCAUAUUGUCAUGUAGCUUAAUUAAUAUAACUAAUGCUUUCUACUAUAAUAUAUAUAUAUCAAAAGGUAAAAUGCUUAGAUUUACAUUCUUUUGUUGCGAGUAAAUAGGACCAGAGCGGCCAGACAAAAUAGUAGGGACCGGCUCGUAACAUCAGAUAUAUCUUUGAAAAAUCCCUUUGAAAAAUAGUAUCAGUUCCAAGUUCCGGUUCCUGUGUUGUUGUAUCAUUGCAUUGAGACACAGGUCAGUAGGUCACAUUUAUAAACACACUCAUUUCAAGGUUUGUUUCGCUAGGAAAUCAUGUGAAAUGCCUUUCCUCCUACAGACGUUAAAAUGUGUCAAGUUGUGAGGAACUUUUUCGCCUUCCAGUCUUCAAUGCACGCACUAACUGCUAAGGGACUGGUCAUAAAGUAAAAGGGGGGUGGGCUGGGAGAAUCAUAUAUUUGGUGUCUGCACUUUUGGUAGCCCACCCCUUAAUAGCUGCACGAAAAUUUGUAGCCCACCCUUAAAUUGGUGCUGAAAAAUUAUGACCCACCCCUUUUCCAAUUUUUUCCGGAAAAAAUGUUUUUCGGACAUCCCCCAACCCCCAACCCCCCGUCGACAACUUUUUUAGGUAAAAAAUUUUUCCGGACGAGUACGUUGCAAUUGCUUUCCAAGGACUUUAUCUUAAUUUUUCAUACCAAAUUUCGGUACUUAGCCCAAAAAAACAGAUAACUUGUUUUAUGCGCGGAAAUUUUUAACACAAAAAAAUGACUGGGGCCCAAUCUUCUGCAUAUUUUUACAUGGCCCACCCUUAUAAUUGCGCUUAACUUUCGAUGACCCACCCCUUCAACCGUGCUCAAAAAUAGUGACCCACCCCCCUAUUUUUCCCAGCCCAUCCCCCUUUUACUUUAUGACCGGUCCCUAAAUAUGGUUUUAUAGUCAGGCAGAUAGAAGGAAAAAACUCACCAUAUCGAGGGGCAAUUCCAUUUUGCCUUCAUAUUGUGCUCUGAUGGCUAGUAAGUACGUUUCUGAAUGUUGGCCGCGUUAAAAUUUCUUGUGGGCUCCUGCCGACACGUUUUUCUUCGAAUGUUGUUUCUUCGAAUACAUUUCUAACACAAAUGACUUACAUCAUUCGAAAGGUCGCAAAAAACUACAUAUAACACAUUUAAACGGUUAGCCGGGACGGGGUUUUUCAAGUUCUUCUUGAGUUAUGAGCUGUUAAAAGCGUAUUUUCAGACUAGUACCCAGCAAUUUUGCGAGAUUUUGGC